RNAcentral lists this long non-coding RNA (2592 nucleotides) under Homo sapiens (human). Its description in RNAcentral is "non-protein coding lnc-SUMO4-5:3". The record is from RNAcentral. Lineage: Eukaryota; Metazoa; Chordata; Mammalia; Primates; Hominidae.
AGGAAUCUCCAGAAGAAUUAGACAUCCUGUCUUAUAGAUGCUUAUUCAUAAAAGAGUGGGGAGAGCCUGAAGGUGUAAAAUGUGUUAUUUGCCACCUUUAAAACUUCUCCAUGGUGCUGAGAGGUCCAUCAGUCAAACUGCCACAUUUUACAGAUGAGGUUGAGCUGAAAGCCUGACCCACCGCGUGCUCCAGCGCAGCCUUCUCAGGGUUCGGCUUUGGAGUGGGGAGUGCGGUACAAGGCCUUACCGGGCAUUUGCUCAGCUAAAAAUAAAGCGAAGCUGGCUUCUGUCUGCUAUCACUCCUUAUACGUAUUGCACUCCAGCCUGGGCAACAGAGUGAAACUCGGUCUAAAAAAAAAAAAAAAAUCUCAUAUGCUAGAGUUGUCACCUGGCAAAAUAAAUUUGGAGCUAAUAGCCAGGACCUUGAGAGGAUUUUGUUCCUUGGCUGAAUGCAAAUCCUUGCCAUUUAGUGAAAACAGCAGGACUUCAAGAAGCAGCAAAUCCACAUCACAUCCAUCAUCUUCAACUCCCACCAUGAGCUUGUCCCAUAUGUAAAAAUUAAAUCCAAGAGAAACUUAAUAUUUAGGAGCUGAUAUUCUCUUAACUCCUUUUUUUCCUUUUUCUUUUUUUUAUUUUUUUAUUUUUAGGGUCUCACUCUGUCACCCAGACUGGAGUGCUGUGGCACGAUUGUAGCUUACUGUGACCUCAAACUCCUGGGUUCAAGCAAUCCUCCCACCUCAGCCUCUCAAAUAGCUGAGACUAUGGGCACACACCAUUGUGCCCAGCUAAUUUUUUUUAUUUUUUAUAGAGGUGGGUUUUCACUCUGUUACCCAGGCCAGUCUCGAACUCCUGGCCUCAAGCGAUCCUCCUGCCUUGGCCUUUCAAAGUGCUGGGAUUACAAGCAUGAGCCACCACACCUGGCCUCUCUUCACUCUUUCUAAGAGUUAAAUAUUCUUUGGGGAAAGAGCAUUCAACUGAUCAAAUUUCAUAGUGUAUUUUUUCUCCAGGAUUUAGGCAAAGCAAAAAUGCUGAGAGGUUUUGAUAAUCAUGUUUAAUUUUCAGAGCUGUUAAAAUAUUGUUACUUAUUAGGGAAAAAAACAAUUUUAUAGUUGUUACAGAAAAACAGAUCUUUUAAAUUAGAAAUAAAUUGGUAGUUAUCUAUAUCGAAACAAUUUUUUUUACCUAAAUUUAACAAAUUCUUAUUACUAUGCAGACACAGAAACCUCAAUUUCAUUUGGCAGCCUGCUCUGCACAAAACAUUAUGUUGAUGCUGUUUGAAAGCCAAGAUUUACCAGUCACCACCCUGCAGUAAUUUAUGAUAUGAAAAAUGUGCAUAGGAGGUGAAUUGGGCAGGAACUGGCAAAGGCUUCAAGGAAGAAGUGCCAUGUUAAGCAAACCAUACAAGGUUGGUAAGAUGUCAACAUAUGGAGAUGAACAGAAUAUUCCAAAUGAACGGCAUGAACAAAGUUUCCCCCAAAUGGUGAAAAAUAGUCCCUCCUCUGCCCUGAAAAUACAGAGUAACUUAAUAGGCUCCUUUACUUCUACGAGCCAGGCACACAAUUUCCCUAAAAGGAAUUGCUAAAGAAUAUUAUGGGACAGGCCAGUGGCAUUGGCGCCCAGGAGGUCUCCCAAGCAUUCCGUAGCAGACAUGCCUCUCACAGGCUGCCAUCUCUGUAGGCUGCCUAGUAGGCAGGCAGUUCUGGGGCACCAGAUCUCUUCUUGACUUUGGAAACUGGAGAGUCUGGCAGGGUCAUUUUCUUCUUUCCAUGGCAUCUUCCCAGACUGCCUCCUGCCAGCUCCCAGGGAGGAUCAAGUGAAUGCGUCUCAGUUUAUGCUGAAGGCAAUGCCUAUUCUGCAUGCCCAUCAUGGGAAUUCAGAGACGCACAGGCAGGCCGCUGUAGGUUGUGUUGGCCCGAGGACCCAGCAGAAUGGGCAGGUAGCGCUGGUCUGAGUCUCCUGAACAAGGAGGAGUCACGUUUUAGCCUCCUUGGCAAGUACUAGGGACCUGGAAAUUCCCUGGCCUCAUGGCACCCUUGCUUGGAGCAGAGACUCCACUGUAAAGGGGCAAUGUCUUCCCAUUCCCUAAGGAAUGUGUGCCAGGGUCCCUGACAGAGGGAUUUAAUAAGAAGCUCCAAGACCAAGUCAAAUGAGAGUUCUGACAUUAAUGGCUAAUAAUUAGUGACUAAUACUUGGGACCAGUAGCAAGACCUCCUCCCUCGGAGGCCUAAUAAAGAACUGUAUCACUGGUUGGGGAAGGAGUUCUUGUUUUGUUUUGUUUGGUUUUUAAUUUUUUUUACUUUUUUUGGUAAAAAUUGCUGGGGCACCUGUAAAAUGUUGCUUCAUGUAUAAGACUGUGUAGUGAUCGAGUCAGGGUAUUUAGGGUGUCCACCACCCGAGUACAGUGCGUUUUAAAACAGACACCCUACUCUGCUAUCAAACAUUCAAUGUAUUUCUGGGGCAGGAGUUUUUAUUCCAUCCCAGUGCAGGAAUGGCUGAAGGAAACCAGGAAGCAGAGUAGGAGACUAAGGAAUGACAUCAACAUCAGUGACCCUGCAGGGAUGGUGACAGGAACAAUGUUUGCAUGGCAGCCAC